AGAGUUUGAUCCUGGCUCAGAUUGAACGCUGGCGGCAUGCCUUACACAUGCAAGUCGAACGGCAGCACGGGGGCAACCCUGGUGGCGAGUGGCGAACGGGUGAGUAAUACAUCGGAACGUGUCCUGUAGUGGGGGAUAGCCCGGCGGAAAGCCGGAUUAAUACCGCAUACGCUCUACGGAGGGAAAAGGGGGGGAUCUUAGGACCUCUCGNCUACAGGGGCGGCCGGAUGGCAGAUUAGCUAGUUGGUGGGGUAAAGGCCUACCAAGGCGACGAUCUGUAGCUGGUCUGAGAGGACGACCAGCCACACUGGGGACUGGAGACACGGGCCCAGACUCCUACGGGGAGGCAGCAGUGGGGGAAUUUUGGACAAUGGGGGCAACCCUGGAUCCAGCAAUGCCGCGUGUGUGAAAGAGCGCCUUCGGGUUUGUAAAGCACUUU
This 439-nucleotide ribosomal RNA is filed under the name uncultured bacterium. Its description in RNAcentral is "bacterial SSU rRNA". It matches the Rfam family "Bacterial small subunit ribosomal RNA", at positions 8 to 436 of the family's 1533-position model. The record is from RNAcentral.